Melitaea cinxia (Glanville fritillary) is the source of this 378-nucleotide long non-coding RNA. RefSeq lists it as uncharacterized. The record is from RefSeq and is a predicted model, not a curated record. Lineage: Eukaryota; Metazoa; Arthropoda; Insecta; Lepidoptera; Nymphalidae. The transcript is spliced from 2 exons.
AGCGUGUCGUAGAACCUUUUGCACGUCUGCGAGUAGCGCGUGUGGGCGCGCCCACGCACAUCCCGAUCCGCCCCCACUGUACGAACGCCACGACCGUACUGGGAAUGAUUCCGCUGGAGACAGAAUGCCGCUAAUUAACUAAAGCUGUCCUAACUGAUCCAAAGGUCCGAGCCAGGGAGCCGCAGAAGCCCCAGGUCUGAGGAUGCUUAACAACAGACAAGACCUGCGAGCCCUAGACACUUCGCACCAAGCUGACAGCGUACCCCACCAGUCUGAUCCAAGCUGUACUAUUGCCGACAUGCCUUCUACCUGAUUGGAUGUAAUUAAAAUGUGUAAUUUCUUAUUUGGAAUAUUCUAAUUAUAAUAUUUAUAUAAUAA